AUGAACUGGAGCCCUCUCUUCCUCACUCUCCUUGCUCACUGCACAGGCCCUGCAGCCUCCUAUGAGCUGACUCAGGCACCCUCAGUGUCAGUGGGCCUGGGAGAGACCGCCCACCUCACCUGUGGAGGAAACAAUAUUGAAAAUAAAAAUGCUUACUGGUACCAGCAGAAGCCAGGCCAGCCCCCUGUGCUGACCAUCUACAAGAGUAACCAGCGGCCUUCUGGAAUCCCUGACUGAUUCUCUGGCACUAACUCAGGGAACACGGCCACCCUGACCAUCAGCAGUACCCAGGCUGAGGACGAGGCUGACUAUUACUGUCAGGUUUGGGAUGAUAGUGCUGCUCACAGUGACACCGGCAGUUGGAGAAGAAUGAAGCUUCUCUGUGGUCACACAGCCACUCCAGGCAGCCCUGUGCUCUGUUGA
Molecule: non-coding RNA, 423 nt
Organism: Elephantulus edwardii (Cape elephant shrew)
Lineage: Eukaryota; Metazoa; Chordata; Mammalia; Macroscelidea; Macroscelididae
Source: the annotation of a RefSeq genome assembly